GUCCAGGGAUGGGAAUCGAACCCACAUUGUUCCGCUUACCGGACAGAUGCCAUGUCCACUAAGCUACCCUGGA
RNAcentral lists this transfer RNA (73 nucleotides) under Cordylochernes scorpioides. Its description in RNAcentral is "tRNA-Thr". The record is from RNAcentral. Lineage: Eukaryota; Metazoa; Arthropoda; Arachnida; Pseudoscorpiones; Chernetidae.